CCUACGGGAGGCAGCAGUGGGGAAUAUUGGGCAAUGGAGGAAACUCUGACCCAGCGACGCCGCGUGCGGGAUGAAGGCCUUCGGGUUGUAAACCGCUUUCAGUAGGGAAGAAGCGAAAGUGACGGUACCUACAAAAGAAGCACCGGCUAACUAUGUGCCAGCAGCCGCGGUAAUACAUAGGGUGCAAGCGUUGUCCGGAAUUAUUGGGCGUAAAGAGCUCGUAGGUCGUUUGUUACGUCGGAUGUGAAAACCUGAGGCUCAACCUCAGGCCUGCAUUCGAUACGGGCAAACUAGAGUUUGGUAGGGGAGACUGGAAUUCCUGGUGUAGCGGUGGAAUGCGCAGAUAUCAGGAGGAACACCAAUGGCGAAGGCAGGUCUCUGGGCCAAUACUGACACUGAGGAGCGAAAGUCUGGGGAGCGAACAGGAUUAGAUACCCUGGUAGUCCAGACCGUAAACGGUGGGCACUAGUUGUGGGAACCUUCCACGGUUUACUGCGACGCAGCUAACGCAUUAAGUGCCCGCCUGGGGAGUACGAUCGACGAAGAUUAAACUCAAAGGAUUGAACGG
Molecule: ribosomal RNA, 568 nt
Filed under: uncultured bacterium
Lineage: Bacteria
Description: bacterial SSU rRNA
Rfam family: Bacterial small subunit ribosomal RNA
Source: RNAcentral